GAAAACCUGAGAUGGCUUUGAGCAUUAUCUCAUUCUCGUAUCACCUCUGAAUUCUUGGACAAGCCUGAGGGUGUCGAAUGACCGAAGUUAAGUUGCACAGAAUAGGCAGUAAUGAAGAUAAGGAUUGAACCCAGGACAUACCAACUUAAGUCUAUACCACACAGCAGGUAGCUCUAACUGUAGGGAGUGUUCUAUGUAUGCGUGUGGUGUACACAUAUUCUACUUUUCAUGUGAUGAGGCUUAGGCGUGUGUGGUAUGCAUGUAUGUGCAUGUUCUUGAUGAAUGUAUUCUGUGACUGUGCACGGACAGUUCAGAACUAUAUUCAGAAGCUGUGUGUAUAGUGCGUGGGGAUCUGGCCCCAUCUGGUCCCUCUCUUGAGCCCUACUCCCUCAGGACAUCCUGGGCCCAGAAAAUCAUCCAGAAAACCUGGAACAGCCAUUCCUGAGUGUAUUCAAAAAAGGGUGGCGGAGGACACCUGUGAGGAACCUAGGCAAGGUGGUGCACUAUUCCAAGGUUCAGCUGCGGUUCCAGCACAGCCAGGACAUCAGUGACUGCUAUCUGGAACUGUUCCCCUCCCACCUGUACUUCCAGGCCCAUGGUUCUGAAGGACUUACAUUCCAGGGGCUGCUACCACUGACGGAAUUGAGCAUCUGCCCGAUUGAUGGGUCC
RNAcentral lists this long non-coding RNA (669 nucleotides) under Rattus norvegicus (Norway rat). RNAcentral describes it as "long non-coding RNA NONRATT023960". The record is from RNAcentral. Lineage: Eukaryota; Metazoa; Chordata; Mammalia; Rodentia; Muridae.